Long non-coding RNA from Athene cunicularia (burrowing owl), 434 nucleotides. RefSeq lists it as uncharacterized. The transcript has 3 exons. NCBI's taxonomy places the organism in Eukaryota, Metazoa, Chordata, Aves, Strigiformes, Strigidae. The record is from RefSeq and is a predicted model, not a curated record.
GGUGUCUCCUGUGAGCUUCCCCCAGCCCAUCGCACGGGGUGCUGAGUCCUGCCUUGCCCUGCAUCAAAUGCAGGUGUCGGAAGAGACACGGAUACUGAGACAGAAACAUGGUAUUGAGUUAAUUCCCCUCACUAAGAUUGAAUAUGAAUGGAAAGGGAAGGUAUAUUUCUACUUUGUUUUCGGUAAUGAAAAGCAAGUCUAUGCAGAGGAUUACCCGGGGAAAUGUUGCUGUGCCAUCCUGUGAGGGUGGACUGGUCCUGCCGAGAGCUGAAGCCAGGACCUGGGUACAAACUGCCAGACAGACCUCCUGCUGUUGCCAGGUGCUGAGACUGCUUGAGAAGAACCUCUCUGGGCUUCCCUUGGGGGUGAAUACCCCUUUCCACCCACCCAUGAGUUUUUUAUUGGGCUUUCUGCUUAAAAUGGGCUUAAUUCAG